This 492-nucleotide ribosomal RNA is filed under the name uncultured bacterium. Its description in RNAcentral is "partial 16S ribosomal RNA". It matches the Rfam family "Bacterial small subunit ribosomal RNA", at positions 29 to 507 of the family's 1533-position model. The record is from RNAcentral.
AGUGAACGCUGGCGGUAGGCCUAACACAUGCAAGUCGAACGGCAGCACAGUAAGAGCUUGCUCUUACGGGUGGCGAGUGGCGGACGGGUGAGGAAUACAUCGGAAUCUACUUUUUCGUGGGGGAUAACGUAGGGAAACUUACGCUAAUACCGCAUACGACCUACGGGUGAAAGCAGGGGAUCUUCGGACCUUGCGCGAUUGAAUGAGCCGAUGUCGGAUUAGCUAGUUGGCGGGGUAAAGGCCCACCAAGGCGACGAUCCGUAGCUGGUCUGAGAGGAUGAUCAGCCACACUGGAACUGAGACACGGUCCAGACUCCUACGGGAGGCAGCAGUGGGGAAUAUUGGGCAAUGGGCGCAAGCCUGAUCCAGCCAGACCGCGUGGGUGAAGAAGGCCUUCGGGUUGUAAAGCCCUUUUGUUGGGAAAGAAAAGCAGCAGGUUAAUACCCCGCUGUUCUGACGGUACCCAAAGAAUAAGCACCGGCUAACUUCGUG